UACGUAGGCAGCGAGCGUUGUUCGGAGUUACUGAGCGUAAAGGGUGUGUAGGCGGUUGUUUAAGUUUGGUGUGAAAUCUCCCGGCUCAACUGGGAGGGUGCGCCGAAUACUGAAUGACUUCGAGUGCGGGAGAGGAGAGUGGAAUUCCUGGUGUAGCGGUGAAAUGCGUAGAUAUCAGGAGGAACACCGGUGGUGUAGACGGCUCUCUGGACCGUAACUGACGCUGAGACACGAAAGCGUGGGUAGCAAACAGG
RNAcentral lists this ribosomal RNA (254 nucleotides) under uncultured bacterium. RNAcentral's name for it is "partial 16S ribosomal RNA". It matches the Rfam family "Bacterial small subunit ribosomal RNA", at positions 524 to 776 of the family's 1533-position model. The record is from RNAcentral.